RNAcentral lists this long non-coding RNA (2197 nucleotides) under Homo sapiens (human). RNAcentral describes it as "HSALNT0383135". The record is from RNAcentral. Lineage: Eukaryota; Metazoa; Chordata; Mammalia; Primates; Hominidae.
GAGCCACCGCACCUGGCCAACAUGAUUUAUUAUUGACAACCUUUUUGCACCCAGUCAGCUUGAAGAGUUUCAAAUGGACCCUACCACUGAGAAAUCAAGAUGGCAGUCUACUAUGGGGAAUUGAGGAAAAAUGGAUUAAUACAAGAGUCCUGUGAUAAUAUACAACCAAGACAGGGUUCUUUUAACAUGGAUUCCAUGCAGUGAAUGAAGACAUAGGUUUCUUACCCAACACAAAUGGACAGUGGAUUUGACUUUCUAAAGACUUUUUUUGUGGACAUUUUGACAUUUGGAGAAGAAAGAUGGCACACUAACCCAGAUAAUAGUUUUUAUGCCUGGAAUUUUUUGCAGUUUGAUUUGUAUGCGUAUGACCUCUUGAAAUGUUAAUUUUUAAUAAAAUUUGUAACACUUAAAAAUUUCUCAGUUUGGGUUUUUUUUUUUAAGUGGAAGUUUAAUUAAAUGUUUAGUUUUAUUUUAGUAAUACUUUGGCCUUUGUAGUUGCCGAGUGGUAAAGUGUACUGAAUAUGAAUAAAGCUGGUAAAUUGGAAAUGGUGUAAUCGAAAACAUUUUACUUGGUUUAUGAAGAUUUACGUUUUUCACAAAGUUGUGCUCUUAGAUGGUCAUUUGGUUUAAAUACUGUUUUGUUUGUGCUUUCAUGAAACACCUUUCAAAACAACUCAAUGGGUAAUAAUAGAAUCUGAUUUUAAUCUGCCACAAGAUUUUAAUGAACUUGAAACAAACUGCUUGUUGCUCGAAAAUUCAGGAUGAGUGAUACACAUAUACUUCUGAAUUAUUUUGUGUUGAUUGAAAUGGUUUCUUAAGCUUUUUAAUACUAUAAAUACAUCUUGCUAUAGAAUAUUCAUCUGAAUAUUUAAAUUAAUGUCUCCUAUUGUCUUACUAUUAGAGGAAGAAGUGUUGGAUUUAUGGGUUAGGGUCCUUGGAGUAUUCACAAUUUUUUAAAUUUGAAAUUAUGUGUGUAAUCCAUUUUAUAUAACUUUGAAGUAGGAUUAAUAUCUUGUAUCGUCUUUAUUUUGUACAAUUGGGGAUUUAGAAUAAAUGAAUUGCACCCUGCCAUAGAUUACUUACGUUUGAUUUUUAAAUGCCAGGUUUUCAUUUAUUACUAAUCAACUGAUACCAGUUUUGGUAACUAUUACAAAGGUGGUAGGCAUUAUUUUGGUAGACAAAAUGAGUUCUUGAUUCUGUUUUCCCAUUUUACAUGAGAAGAAUAAAUAGUUCAGGUUAAAUUGUUUUGUGUUAAUCAUACUGUUUGUGAUUCAUGUCAAAUACUGCAGCAUACACAUCCAUGGUUAAUACACGAGCACCAUUUGUUAUUGACUGAUGUGAGGUGGUUGGUCUUUGUUAAAUUCAAAAAUGGAAUUUUGGAUAUUGUUCUUGCUACGAAAUUUAUCUUUGUGUGUAGAGUAUGGAAUUGAAACAGUUUGGAUUAUGGAUUUUACCUAGAUUGGACAUUGUUGAUUUUGUUUGGUGUAAAUCUAAAGUGGAUUUCUUCAGUGAGGGAGAGACAUGGUUCUGGCAGAUUAUGUUGAAUAAGGAAAGUUGAUUGGAUUUUUUUGGGUGUGUGAAUAUGCUUGUCUGAAUGGAGUGCUUGGUAGGAUAUUGUUUCUGGAAUUAGUAAUUUGUUUCUGUGGAUCUCAUGGUUUUGAUAUUUAGGAGAAUUUGCUUUGUGACAUUACUUUGAUAAUUUGCAAUCACGUAUGUCCUAUUGUUAAUAACAUUGUUGAAAUGGGUGUAUACUUACUUGAUUUGAAAUAUAAGGGAAGUGUUGGGAUAUGUGUUUUCUGUUGGAUUUGGACGUGGAGUUUCUUGGGUUACUGAUUUAAAGGUGAUCGUGUUUGGACCAUACUCUUGAAUUUUUGCCUGAAUCAGUAUGGGAAGUAAAUAUAUUGUGAUUAUGAGAAGUUUCUUUGGGGGGAGGAGUGUAAUAUUUUCAAGGUUAUAUAAUGGGUUAAAGAAUUUUGUGAAAGAACAAAGAAAAAUGGAUAUUCUUGAAUAAAAAUUGGUUGCAUUAACUUUUGCUCCAGUGCAACUUGAACACUAGGGAGGCGCUCUUGAGUUGUAAAAGUUACCCCUUUCUUCCAGUGGAGAUGGAAAAUUCCCCCUUAAAUUUUGUCUUUAGAUUAUUUUUAGGCAUCAUAAAGAAGGAAAAACUUGAAUUUAUAUUAUGAAAUUAAGGUUUUAC